This 624-nucleotide ribosomal RNA is filed under the name Triticum aestivum (bread wheat). Its description in RNAcentral is "partial small subunit ribosomal RNA". The record is from RNAcentral. Lineage: Eukaryota; Viridiplantae; Streptophyta; Magnoliopsida; Poales; Poaceae.
AUGGGUGCACCAACACGACUACGUCGGUAUAUCAUCCAACCUCUCGUCAGGUCAGGGCUCGCCUCAAUCCUGCGCCGCCCGGUCUCUUCUCUCCGACCAAACCCUAUGGAGCCGCCGCGCCGCACCAAGCACCCCGCGGGUAACGGCGGCGACGACGCCAACGCCAAGGCCGCCGCCGAAGCACGACGCUACUACCGCGAUGACGAUCUCGAUGGCUUCUCGUAUGGCAGCGGCGGCGGCACCGGGUUCCUGGACGAGAGCGGCAGCUACGUGGAGCGCGCGGCGCGGGGCGGCACCAAGGAGGAGGCCUGGCUGGGCGCGAACGACGUCGACGGCGAGUCCCCCUGCCCCGCCGCCACGAAGCACGCGAGGAAGGUCCUGGUGAGGCAGGAGGAGGACGAGCGGAUCCUCGAGGGCGUCGUCGGCUCCCGCGCCAUUUUCCACAUCAAGAAGCGGAUCGCCGGCCUCCUCCAGCCCGGCGAGACGGUCCCGGGCGCGCUGCGGAGGCUCAAGGGAGACAAAUGUGGCGGGGGGAAGGGGAUGGGCGAGGCGGCGCGGUGCGCGUUCGACGAGCUGAUGGACGCCGCCGCGGACCUCGUGCGGCGCGGCGACCUCGACGCGUAA